Molecule: transfer RNA, 71 nt
Filed under: Argentina striata (striated argentine)
Lineage: Eukaryota; Metazoa; Chordata; Actinopteri; Argentiniformes; Argentinidae
Description: tRNA-Ser
Rfam family: tRNA
About the family: Transfer RNA (tRNA) molecules are approximately 80 nucleotides in length. Their secondary structure includes four short double-helical elements and three loops (D, anti-codon, and T loops).
Source: RNAcentral
AAGAAAGUAGCAGAGUGGCUAAGCAGCUGGCUUGAAACCAGAGUACGGGGGUUCGAUUCCCUCCUUUCUCG